This 1171-nucleotide long non-coding RNA is filed under the name Sarcophilus harrisii (Tasmanian devil). RNAcentral's name for it is "lncRNA (ENSSHAG00000022284.1)". The record is from RNAcentral. Lineage: Eukaryota; Metazoa; Chordata; Mammalia; Dasyuromorphia; Dasyuridae.
AGUGACAAAGGGAAUUGUGAAGCAAGACCUUUAACAUCUGGGGUGCAAGGAACAAGUGGUAAAAAUUUCACCUACAGGACAAUUCAAAUUCUCACAUUUUAUUGCUAGGACAACAAGAAAAUUCACAAACAUACUGUGUGCCUUUAUAUUGCAGUGUCAGAGCCUACAAGAGUUUGGGAAGAGUGUUUACAUUUCAGCUGCUCUGCUUACCUUCAGAAGUGUAGAGAAGCAAAAUAUACCCAGGCUGAGUGUGAAGAAACCCCAAAUUGGCUAGAAUAUAGCAAAGGGAAUUCAGAGUGGUUUAUCUGGUUGGAAAAUUCUCUGGGCAAAACAGUCUUGUUUUGCUGCUGGACACUGUAAUCCAAGACUGGAAAACAGACUGAUGAAAGGGUGAAAAUCUUUUCUCAACAGAAGAGUUGGUUAAGAGUGUUAAGACCAGGUAAGAAUAGUUUGGGUAUUUAAAAAAAAACACAAAGAUAGAAAUUCCUGGUCCUGUUUCUUAUUGUUCAGUCAUGUCUUACUCUUCAUGAUGCCAUUUGGGGCUUUCUUGGCAAAGCUACUGGAAUGAUAUCUUGCUAUUUUCUUCUCCAGCUCAUUUUUGCAGCUGAGAAAAUCGAGGCAAACAGGGUUAAUUGGCUUGACCAAAGUCACACAAUUAAUCAGUACCUGGUUUGAACUCACAAGGAUAAGUCUUACUAACUGCAGACUGGCCCUCUAGCCAGUGUACCACCUAGCUGCCAAUGGCAAUGACAAUAACAAAGAACGGUUUGGACAUUUAAAAAAAAGGGAUUAAAGUUCACUUUGCUGAAUUGUGUUUCCAGAGGAUGUAAUUCCUAUCUCUGAUUUAUUUGUUUUUAGGGGGAAUGCAUAGUAUUUCUCUUCAUCUGGGGUCCCCACAAUCAUGACUUUACCCUCCUUCCAGUUUCUACUUUGCCUGAUCCCUGCCUGUCCCAGCUCAGGCAGUCAAGAGGACUCAACUGGAUUCCUUUCUGUGAACAAACUGGCUUAUCGGAGGCAAGGUAGUGGGAGUUCCUCAGGCAAACAAAGGAGAUCUUUGGAAGGAGUCUUGCCAACAUUUCUGAAGCCACAAAGGCUGCCCUACACAGGGAUAAUAAAUAUUUAUCUCCCCAUCUUAUUUUGUAAGGUUGGAAAGAAUACAUUGUGGCUCUAA